RNAcentral lists this non-coding RNA (45 nucleotides) under Schistosoma haematobium. Lineage: Eukaryota; Metazoa; Platyhelminthes; Trematoda; Strigeidida; Schistosomatidae. The record is from RNAcentral.
ACCCAGCUGACGAGUUCCAAACAGGACAAAACGCGCGUUCUGGAU